Molecule: long non-coding RNA, 8922 nt
Filed under: Capsicum annuum
Lineage: Eukaryota; Viridiplantae; Streptophyta; Magnoliopsida; Solanales; Solanaceae
Description: long non-coding RNA (CANN_LNC015204)
Source: RNAcentral
UUUAUUAAUUAUGCAAAAUCAGAGAAUCCAAAACAUAGGUCAAACAACCCAAAUAGAAAACAAACACCUAACAAUUUCCAACCUCCUAGCCUAACCCGACAUCUCAACCCGCUACCCCUUAUUACAUAUAAAAUAAAGUGAGGGUUUUCUAUUCCCAUAUCUAUCCUAGCAUUUCUGCUUCCCCUCACACCUGAGAUAUAUUGUCACUGUACUUCAACACUGGACUCCUCCUUGUUCUGCUUUGGGCUAUUAAUUUUAUCCCCUUCUUUGCUCAAUUUGCUGAAAAAUUAACUUUCAAGAGUAAAUGCGCUAUAGUAUUUUGUUUUUGCUUUUUUCGCUUUCCUUCUCUAAUUUUUGCUUGCUUCAGAUCUGUGUUCUCCAAUGGGUGGAUGUGCUUUCUUUAGUUUGCAAAGGGAUCCCAUCUAUGGAUAAUGUUUCGUGUCAUUGGGUAAGCUUCAAUUCUCCAACCUUUUCCUUUGUUUGGUAAAUCUCUAAUAAAUAAUACAUGGCAGUUGGAGUAGAAGUUGAGUGCACGUAAAGCUCGACAACUCCACCCUAUAGUGAUAUGAGCAUUUUCUAGAUUUCCAAUUUCUAAUUUGAUCUUAGAUAUUUCCCAUUUUACGAAGUCCUUUUUGAUGGAUGAAGUAGUGUAAGCUAGAUAGCAAUUCACUUUUUCUGAAACCCUUGUGGUUAUGUAAAUAUUUGUCAAGUGAACAAACUUGUACUUUAGCAUACUCUGCCCUAUUAUCCCCUGAUAUGUGAUUCUAUUAAAUAUGAGAACUUUACUUAUUACUAUUGAUGAUUUUCUUUCCUGUUGUUUCCAUGUUCUGAAAAUGCAAAAAAGUAUAAUUACCUUUGUCUAUUUAUAGAUUUUCUAGGUAGUUUUCUAACUGAUUGCCUUCUCUUAUAAUAUACUGAAACUUUGUCUGUUUAUCUGCAAAAUUGAAACACCCUAAAUCUUAGCCCUUGCAAAAUUUCUUGAGUUUUGGACAUUCUGUCCAUGGUACGACUCAUGGGUGUAAGACCCCAUAUUUUUGGACUAGUCUUUGAACCAUCGUUACUACGUGUAUAAGUUAUAAUCCAAAUGAUUCCCAUGUGAAUAUAAGUUUCAUGAUCUUUAUCCUCAUGUUUGAUGUGAUUUCGAGGUAAGAUCAAUUGAUUCAUCCAAAAUUUGGUAUUUGAUUCUAUAAAGAUCUACUUUAAACGUGUAUAACUUUUUCUAUAGAUAGAAUUUUUCAGCUCAAGACCCACCAAAUUAUAGUUAAUUGAAUAAGCUUUCCAACGAUAUAAAUUAUUCCUAAAUCUAAUACCUGAGAGAAAAGUUACAACCAUUUUCAUGAGAGGCAGCAAGCCAAGGCAAUAUGCCCGCGCCGCUCGGCUUAUUGCACUAGGAUAGGCAAGGCGCUGUGGGAUCUACUCACUCAGGCUAAAGGAGGCGAUGCCUUGUCCAUUCCCCAGCUGUUUUAAACUCUUUAAGGGUCAAGGGGCACUUUGGUCCUUUCCCCUCAACCCCCAAAUGUCCAUGGGACGAUUUAAAGCAUCCAAUAGGGCUUUAUUUGCCCAUAUUCUUCAAGAUUUACUCUCAAGAAACCCUCAUACUUUUCCAUGAACAAGGUUCAAGCUUUUCCUCUCAAGAACACAAGGAUUCAGGCUUCAAAUUCACGAUUUCUUUAAUAAUCCAUCGAAUUAAGGUAUGUGGGUGUUAAUCCAUGAGUCCUCUUUCACCCAUGGGGACCAAAAUCCCUUUUCUUUCAAUUAAAGAAUGAAUCAUGUUAUUUUGUAAGUUCAAGAAAAGAUUGAUUUUCAUGAUGUUUUUAAUUCAAUUCAUCCCAUGUUUAAUUCCAUGCAAGAUUUUGAAUUCCUCAUGCCAUGAAUUUGAGUUUCCCCAUGCUAAUUCAAGUGAAUUCAAUGAUGGAUCCUAAGUUUAGGAUUUUUAGCAACAUUCCCAUGCUUUAAAUUCAUGCUUUCCACAUGUUUGGUGAGAUUCCCAUAUCAUGUUCAACUAGUUUCAAGAUGAAUCCCCACAGUAUAAAUUUUGCCAUGUAACUCUAUUGUUUCCUUAUGUUUAAGACAUCCUUAUGUUCAAGCUAUGAUACUUACAUGUUUUGAUGAAAUGCCCAUGUCUUAUUUCAUGCGAAUUUCAUGUAAAUUCCCCAAUUCAUGAUUUUAUUUAUUUAAUCAUUCUAUGCUUCCAUGUUUAAGAUAUUUCCAUGUUCAAGUUCAUGAUCUCCAUGUGUUUGAUGAAUUGUCACAUGUUAAAGUAUUAAUCUCCAUGUGUUUGAUGAAAUGCCCAAAUGAUGGAUUUCCUUAAAUAAUGCUUACUUAUCAUGGUUUUAAAUGUUUUCAUGUGUCCCUAUUGUUUUUGCUGCUGAGUUUUGGGGGUUAUUAAAUCCCAAAAUUUAGCUGUUUGCAUAGUUUUCAGUAUCUUCAGAAUGGUUUUAGAUAAACCAUGAGCCUUGUUAUUCAGUUAGUAUCAUAUUCAGUUAAAUUUAGUCUAGUUUUAGUUCCAGUAUCAAUUUACACAUUAAUAAUUACCUCAGAAGCUAUAUGCACUGUUAUUUUUAGAAUACCAUGACCUGAGCUUAUCAGUUAUUAGUUAUCAGUGCACACACCAGUUAGUAAUUCAGUGUCUUUCAGUUAGGAGUAGGAUUUAGGACUUGAGUGAACCCAGGGAUGGAAGCAUUCCUACCAGCAUAGGGUUUGAACCUUAGUAGCAAUCCUUGAGUUACAGAACUACAUAGCCAGCGAAGGUUUGAGAUGUCUUCCUACCAGUUUAGGGUUGACAUAUAUCUCAUGAGUUUCCUGCUAGUAUAGAGUUACUCCUUAGUCCAUCGAGACACCAGUUCAGUGGAUCCACACAGUCAGUUUUAGUACCCAUGGCACAGUACUGACACCCUUCCAACUGGGGUUACAGGUUGGACCCUGAUUAGCUCAGAUUGGGGCAUGUCGGUUAGAUGAGACCUCCCACAGUUUAAGUCAGUUAAUCAUUAUAAUUUAGUUUCAGGUUUGCUUGACCAUAGCGUACAGUUAUCAGUUAUUUAGUAUCUGUAUUUCAGUACUUCAGUUUACAAAUUAUUUCAGUAUCAUGUUAUAUGCUUGGUCUUGCAUUCUCAGAUUUUACAGUUUCAUGCAUUCAUGUUUAGUUAUCCCAUUAUUCAGUUAGUCCGUAUCUCGUAGGCACAGUACUCCACAGUUGUCAGUGCAGUUAUUCAGACUAAGUUAAGUUCAGUCUUACAUGACCAGUAUUCAGCUAUCUGUCAUUCAAUUAAUCAGAUAAGUUUAGUAUAUGUUACGUUUGGUUUUGUAUGUUCAUGCAUUCGUGCUCAGUAUGAUAGUAUAUUCAGAUCCUCGAGUUAUGUUAGUCUCCACCGUGUAGUUUUAGACCCAAUAUUCAUACAGUACCCACAUUUUACUAUUUUUCAGCUCCAGUUCUACAUAUAUUAUAGAAGUAAAGUUUUAAGAAACUAAGUGUAGUGAUUCACCAUCUUAUCUGAUUAUUCUUGUUAUGCAUGUUUUAAGAUACUUCAACUUUUAGUUUAUUUCAGUGUAUUGGUGAGUCUACUUAUACCUAGUCAUGCAUGUUUUAAGAUUAUGCAUGAAAUCAGUUUUACUUAUUGCAUUCACCCCUGUAUACUCAGUACAUCUAGAAGUACUGAUCCACAUAUAUGUCUAUGUGCUAUAUUGUCUAGUAAUGUGGGUACUAUUUAUAGCUUUUGUACCAUAAUCAGAUAGUUGCAGCUUCCAUCCAGCUGGUGAAGAGUUCUCCUAUUUCGGGAACUUCAGUCAGAUUUAAUUCAUGUACUAUGUUGUAUUUAUUCUUAUGUAUUGAUUAGUGGUAGUUGGAGGCAUGUCACAGCUACCUAAAGUCAGUAUAGCAUAGGGUUCAUAGAUGUCAGUCAGAGUCAGUCAUGUAAAUUUCAAUUUUCUCCUCAGUUUUAUUAGAUUAUAAAGUGUAUCAGUAAUAUAAUUUUUCUUAGAUUUUUUUAUGAUUAUAUUUCUGUACAAAAGAACAACUAUUUAUUUUAUUAUAAUUCAGUUGGUUAACAGUAUGCCAGUUCAUGGGUUAGCUUGGGAUCACUUGUGGUUCCAAGCACCGUAUGGCAUCUAGGGUGUACUCUCGGGGCAUUACAAACAUGGUAUCAGAGCACAGAGUUCAAGUAUCCUAGGGUGUCUAUGAAGCCGUGUCUAAUAGAGUCUUGGGGAAUGGUACAGAGACAUCUGUACUUUUCUUUGAGAGGCUACAGGGAAUUUACAAAAUAUUUCCCCUCUUUCAAGUCUCAGAUCGUGCAGUAGAAGUGUUAUCUAAGAAAAUUAUAACGAUUCUCAUAUUGCUCUAUUCAUGCCAACUCUGCCUUAGUUUUGAGGCAACAUAAACAUUUAAGCUCAAUUUCCAACAGAUAGAGUUUUCUCAGACAGUCCCCACAGACAGUUAUGGGAUUGUAUGCAGGCUCAAAAGUAUCCCAUCAGUGCCCGUAUCUUCUAAAGUUUGAAAAAUUCCAUUCAUGUUCAUAAAAAUUAUGCAUUGAGCCAAAGUCAAAUAUGCUCUCAGAUCCCUCCCUAGCAUCCUAUGAUAGCAUAUAAUAUAGAGUUAGAAUCAUGACCUAGAAGUUUAGCAGUAGUAGAGUUGGGAUAGUGUUAUUUAGAUUGAGCAAAUUAUGUAUUUAUGGGGCUAGUUAUACGAAAGGUGAAUCAGUUGGCUUGAAUAGUAUAUGAAAGAAUUUAAGUUUAUUGAUUUGAAAUUAAGUAUGAUGAUGCGUUUAUGAUCUAGAAGUGUACUUGAGUUAAUGGGAUUGCAUUAUUUCUAAGUUUUGAAGUAUGUGUCGAGAAAAGUGUAAGUAUGUAAUGAUGAUUGCAGAAGCUAGAGAAAGUUAAGGGUAGUCUAUCUAUGGGAGUUUAGUAUUAUGUGUAUCGUUAUAUCCCGGGCUCUUGAGUAAAGUGGUUGCAGUUCAGUUAGAGUUUAUUAAGUAGUCCACAGAGUUAGAAUGAUGGCUUAAGGCUAAGGGGGAGAUGAUACAACAAGUAACUAAGUCAGCUCCAUGAUCAUAGCUCAUAUUCAUGCAAUUUUCAUAUAAUCAUGUAUGCUUCCGGUUCCAAGUAUGAGGAGUUCCAGUUCACUCAAUAGUACGAAUCGUGUUCCAUGAAAUCAUGAACUCUAAGCUCAGGUCAUACAGCUCAUGACUCAUGUAUUCAUGCUUUAUAGUAUGUCCAGUUCCAGUACCCAUGCCAUACUUUUAAUGAUUAACAAAAUUCAGAUUUAUGUCAUGUAUGUCCUCAGUUCAGACCUCUCUGAAGAAUUCAUGUCAUUGAUUCUUUAUUCCUCAGGCCUCAGUUGAUUUUCAAAGUUAUUUUUCCAUGUUUCAAGUCCUUAUGCUCUAACCUUUCAGUGACCUCUCCUUAUGUCAUGAUUAGUUGAAAUUCUAUGAGUGUUUUGUUGGGCUAGUGCAUGAAAGUUUUAAGGAUAGAGGUUUAAAGUAUAUGAGAAAGAUGCUUUUGUGGUUGUUUUCCCCAAGUUCAUGUGUGGUUAUGAAGAUAGGCUUGAAUAUCAUGUUUGUGUACAAGUGGAGUGUAUAGUUGAGUAUAAGCUUUCAGUAUGAUUCAGUUCUUAUAGCUAGUAAUUUAGUUUAGCGGUUAGACAGACAAGUUCCUAUGGUUUUCCAUCUUUCCUAUUCAUGAGGUAAUUCACGACCAUCCAAAUUUUGAAUUUAACUCAGUUUAUGCAUAUGCAUCAGUUUCAAAUUCCAUAUAUUCAGUCAUGAUUCAAUCCGUAAGUGUCUCAUGCAUCGUCUCAGUCUUUCCUUAGUAUUUCAGCCAAGUUAGUAUCAUUCAGGGGACGAAGUAUCCCAAGGGGAAGAUGUAAUACCCCGACUAUUAGUAUCCUAAAUCUUUUAUCUUUUCUUCACGAAAUAAGAUCUAGCUUGAAGUAAUGGUUACUCAUAAGUUGACUCUGUCUUUUCUAUCUUAGCCUAAUGACCUUUCUCAUGUCAUUGCAUGUAUUUAUGAAAUCAGUUUAGUUUAUGUAUUAUGCUCAGAUUCAGUUAUGAAAUCAUAUUUUUAGUCAUGCAUGUACAAAAUAUGAUCUCAGUUACCUUCAUACAGUACUCUCAGUCUAACUAGUCUCAUUCAAGGAUAAAUGUUUCGAAGAGGGAGAGAAUGUAAGACCCCAUAUUUUCAGACUAGUUUUUAAACCGUCGUUCUUAUGUGUAUAAGUUAAAAUCCAAAGGAUUUCCAUGUGAAUAUAAUUUUCAUGAUCUUUAUUCUUGUGUUUGAUAUGAUUUCGAGGUGAAAAAUGUUCAUAGCAAUGAAUUAGAACAAAGUUGAGCUAAGAUCAUUUGAUUCAUCCAAAAUUUGAUAUUUGAUUCUACAAGGAUCUACUUUAAACAUGUAUAACUUUUGAUAUACGUUGAAUUUUUUAGCUCAGGACCCACCAAAUUAUAGAUAAUUGAAUCAUCUUUUCAAUAAUAUCAAUUUUGCCUAAAUCCAAUCCCCGAGCGAAAAGUUACAACCAUUUUCGUGUGAGGCUAUAAGCCGAGGCGAUAUGCCCGCACCGCCCGAGUUAUUGCAUCGGGAUAGGAGAGGCGCCGUGGGCUCUACUUCCCCAAGAUAAAGGGGGUGGCGCCUUGUCCAUUCCUCAACUGUUUUAAACUCCUUAAGGGUCAAGGGGCACUUUGGUCAUUUCCCCUCAACCCCAAACAUCCAAGGGACGAUUUAAAUCAUUUAAUAGGGCAUUAUUUGCCCAUAUUCUUUAAGAUUUUCUCUCAAGAAACCCUCAUACUUUCCCAUGAGCAAGGUUCAAGCUUUUUCUCUCAAGAACACAAGGAUUCAAGCUUCAAAUUCAUGAUUUCUUUAAUAAUCCAUCGAAUUAAGGUAUGUAGAAGCUCAUUCAUGGGUCCUCUUUCACCCAUGGAGUCCAAAACCCUUUUUCUUUCAAUUAUAAAAUGAAUCAUGUUAUUUUGUAUAUUCAAGGAAAGAUUGAAUUUCAUGUUUUCAUGAUGUUUUUAAUUCAAUUCAGCUCAUGUGUGAUUCCAUGCAAGAUUUUGAAUUCCUCAUGCCAUGAAUUUGAGUUUCCCCAUGAUAAUUCAAGUGAAUUCAAUGAUGGAUCCUAAGUUUAUGAUUUUUAGCAACAUUCCCAUGUUUUAAAUUUGUGCUUUCCACAUGUUUGUUGAAAUUCCCAUAUCAUGUUCAACGAGUUUCAAGAUGAAUUCUCAAGAUAUAAAUUUUUCCAUGUAACUCUAUAGUUCCCUCGUGUUUAAGACAUCCUUAUGUUUAAGCUAUGAUGCUUACAUGUUUUGAUGAAACGCCCAUGUCUUAUUUCUAGAGAAUUUCAUGUAAAAUCCCCAAUUCAUGAUUUUAGUUAUGUAAUCAUGCUACGCACCCAUGUUUAAGAUAUUUUCAUGUUCAAGUUCAUGAUCCUCAUGUGUUUGAUGACUUGCCCCAUGUUAAAGUAUUAAUCUCCAUGGGUUUGAUGAAAUGCUCAAGUGAUGGGUUUCUUUGAAUAAUGCUUACUUAUCAUGGUUUUAAAUGUUUUCAUGUUUCCUUAUUGUUAUUGCCGCUUAGUCCUGGGGGUUAUAAAUACCUAAAAUUUAGCUGUUUAUAUAGUUUUCUGUAUAUUCAGAAUGGUUUUAGAUAAACCAUGAGCCUUAUCAUUCAGUUAGUAUCAUAUUCAGUUAACUCAGUCUAGUUUCAAUUCCAAUAUCAAUUUACUCAUUAAUAAUUACCUUAGAGUCCAUAUGCACUAUUAUUUUUAGAAUACCAUGACCUGAGCUUAUCAGUUAUUAGUAAUCAGUGCACACACCAGUUAGUAAUUCAGUGUCUUUCAGUUGGGAGUAGGAUUUACCACCGGGCAAACCCAGGGAUGGGGGAAUUCCUGCCAGCAUAGGGUCUGGCCCUUAGUACUAAUCUCUGAGUUACAAAACUACAUCGCCAGCAUAAGUUUGAGAUGUCUUCCUACUAGUUUAGGAUUGACAAGUAUCACAUGAGUUUUCUGCCAGUAUAGGGUUACUCCUUAUUCCUUUAGGAUACCAGUUCAGUGGAUCCACACAACUAGUAGUACCCGUGGUACCACACUGAAACCCUUCCAACUAGUUAUAGGUUGUACCUUGAUUAGCUCAGAUUGGGGCAUAUCAGUUAGAUGUGACCUCCCAUAAUUUCAGUCAGUUAAUCAGUAUAAUUCAAUUUUAGGUUUGCUUGACCAUAGCAUACAUUUAUAAGUUAUUUAGUAUCAGUAUUUCAGUACUUCAGUUUACAGAUUAUUUUAGUAUCAUAUUAUAUGCUUGGUCUUGCAUUCUCAAAAUUUACAAUUUUAUGCAUUCAUGUCCAGUUAUCCCAUGUUAUUCAGUUACUCCUUAUCUUAUAGGCACAGUACUCCACAGUUGUUAGUGCAGUUAUUCAAACUAAGUUAAGUUCAGUCCUACAUGACCAGUAUUCAGCUAUCAGUCACUCAAUUAAUCAGAUAAGUUUAGUAUAUGUUACGUUUGAUUUUGUAUGAUUAUGAUUCAUGCACAGUAUGAUGGUAUAUUCAGAUCCUCGAGUUAUGUCAAUCUCCACUGCAUAGUUUCAGACCCAGUAUUCAUGCAGUACCCAUGUUUUACUGUUUUCAGCUCUAGUUUUACUUAUAUUACAGAAGUAAAGUUUUAAGAAAGUAAGUGUAGUGAUUCACCAUCUUAUCUGAUUAUGUUUGUUAGGCAUGUUUUAAGAUACUUCAGCUUUCAGUUUAUUUUAGUCUCUUGGUGAAUCUACUUACACCUAGUCAUGCAUGUUUUAAGAUUAUGUAUGAAAUCAGUUUUCCUUAUCGCAUUCACCCUUGCACACUCAGUACAUUCCAGAAGUACUGAUCUAUAUAUAUGUCUAUGUUCUACAUUGUCUUAUAAUGUAGGUACCAGUUAUAGCUUUCGCAUCAUUAUCAGACAGUUGCAGCUUCCAGCC